ACAACUUAGUGACUUAAAUGAGAA
RNAcentral lists this non-coding RNA (24 nucleotides) under Gossypium hirsutum (cotton). Lineage: Eukaryota; Viridiplantae; Streptophyta; Magnoliopsida; Malvales; Malvaceae. The record is from RNAcentral.